Long non-coding RNA from Sapajus apella (tufted capuchin), 1949 nucleotides. RefSeq lists it as uncharacterized. The record is from RefSeq and is a predicted model, not a curated record. Lineage: Eukaryota; Metazoa; Chordata; Mammalia; Primates; Cebidae. The transcript has 2 exons.
GAAAUAGAGAGUAGAAUGGUGAUUAUUCUGGCCCAGAGGGCUGGUGAGAAAUAAUAAAUUUUUUAAGAACUCAUUCUGUACAAGUGUGCAUCACACAUUGAAAUGUUAAUCAUAGUGAAAUACUAUUCUCUUAUACUGUUAUUUUGAUAUUAAUUUGCUUGUUUGAGUAUUUUAUUUUGCUUAUUAUGGAUUAAAAAGAAAAGUUCAGGUAUUUCAAGAUGAUACGCAAGAUUUAAUGAGAAGGAUGAAGAGAGCCAAUGUGCAUUUGAUGCUAAUUAUUUGCCCCACACAAAACUCAGCUUUUUGAAUAGAAUAUGUACUCAACAGAAUUUAAAAAAUCCUGAUGCUUUUACCAAGAAGUGACCGGCAGUCAGUCCAAAUCUGGUAGCUAGUCCUGUAACUGAGAGAGACAGCAACUUUUAAUUAAAGACUGAGGGGGAAAAAAAUCAAAGUUAAUUCAGUAGAAUAUUUCACAAAUUUAAAUAUUAAAUAUGAAAAUCAAUGUAUUCCAUUUGGUAUGAGAUUUUGAACCAUGUAUUAAAAACACUUUAAAAGAAAUAAAAAAGAUUCAAACCCUUGAAGUCUGUAAUUCUACUUCUGGAAAUAUAUUCUAGGAAUGUAAUCUAAAAUAAAGAAAUGGGCUAGACAGAAAAUAUUCAGUGCAAUACAUGUUUAAUGAAGAAAAUUUGGAAUUAAUCAGAUAGUCAACAAUGGGAGGAAAUGUUUAGUAAAGUUUGAUAUUCGGUGUUCGGUAUUUAAGGUAAAUGUGCAAAAAGGCUAUUUACAAUGAGGAAUACUAGUAUAAAAAUAUGUAAAGAGAAUAAAACAGGAUGAAACAUAGACAGUAUUUUCUCAAAUAACUUAAAUAAAUACUUAUAAAGAUAAUAAAGGCUAAAAGAAAAUAAACAGUCAUGCCAAUAGAGAGUUCUGUGAAUAAGGGCAAAAAUAAUUUUUAAAAGGGCAUACUCUACACAAAGAAAGGCUGACUCCCCCAGAAACAGAAUAUCACCUUACAUCCAAAGUAGCCAUGCAGAUUACAGUGGUGUUUUUACUAGGUUUAUGAAAUAUGAAUGCUGACCUUGUCUCCUUGCCUUGUACUGACAGUGAAUGGUGUUUACUGGAUGCCAAUUACUUUUUCUCUCACUAUUAAUUCUUCUCUGAAUUUUAUCGCUAACAACCAUGCUGCAAAUCUGAAAUUGUUUGAAUGUAUCAGUCUCCUUAACAUUUUCUUCUUUUCUUUCAGAGUAAUUCUGAAUAUAUUAAUUUUAUCAAUUGCAUGCAUAAUGCUAAUGCCAACAUUUUGUGCAGGAGGGCAUCUUGUCAGAGAGACCAUAUCCGAGUUCAUAUUUUAAACAGUUGUCAGCUUCUUUAUGAAUGUCAAUAAAUGUAAAUUCUAAUAAAAACAAAAAUAAAAUCUUAUUAAUUGUCCUCUGGAGCCUUCAAAAUAAGUACUACAUUCUUUUGGCAAGAACUCACUCAGAAUGUUUGUCUUCUAACAUUCCUCUGAAGAGAAAGUGAAGACACCAGCAUUUUGCAUCUUUGUGUGUGUGUGUGUGCGCACGUGCUAAAACACUGGAACACACAAAAGUAGACACAGUCAGAGAGGAAUGGGCAUAGAUGGAUUUAUCAGGAAUUUGACGAGGCUUACCCUUUGGGCUCCCACUUUCUUGGGGCUUCUGCUAAGAAUCUUUAACUGUUUAGAUUUGUAACUUUGUAAAGAAAACCCUUUAAGUUGAGGAAGAAGGAUAUUCCACAAAGUCUAUAAUGUCUGCUAGGCAUGACCAACUUUCCUAGAUUAUUCUGUGAAAACAGCACUAGGAGGAAACACAGAAAUCUAUUAGGUUUGAUUCUGAGAUGUGAGACCUGGUUGGAUAAAUGUAAGGGAGAUGACGAGAGAGAAGAGCAAAAGAGAAAUGCAUGGGAAAGGGAUGUACAAAAAAAAACAAACA